GCUCCGGUGGGCGCGGAGGGGGAGGGUCGCGUUCUGUCAGUUUCUAGCUCGCUCCCCUCAGAGCUGCAGCCAAAACCCGGAGAGUGGAAUAAGCGCCCUGAAGAUGCCGGAGCUCCCGGCUGAGCAACUGGACACGCGACGAACAGCAGACGCUACAGGUUCUCCUACCCAGAGGGAGGCGUUUCUUCUCCCUCAGGGUCUUUCAAAAGGAUUUGCCUAAAGCUGGGGCAAGCCGGUGGCGGCUGCCCCAGACGCGCGACGAGGCGCAAGUGGCGCAGCUGCCGGCCCGAGAGAGUAAAAUUCAGGCCGCGGUGGCACCUGCGCCCGCCGGUCACCCGGCCACCGCCAGCGCCGCCGCCCGGCGCGCCCCUCCCCUCCGCCGGGGCCGGAGCGUGAACCGGGUUAAUGAAUGCUAAUUUUCUUAAUCGGCCUCCGUCUCUUCCUCCUCCGCGAGUCGUCGGCCUGGGGAAGGAGUAGGCGACAGGAAAGGGCGGUGUUUUCCGGCUGGGAGGUCCCAGCCCGCAUGGUCAGCCAGGGGAGGGGGCUGGGACCCCUGGGAGUCGGACGCUGGGGGCCUGGCCUCUGCCCUGAGACUCUCGGGUUGGAUGGAAAUCCUGGCACAACGCGGAGAACCUCCCGGAUACCUUGGCUUUGCCGAGAGAUAUCAGCUUCAGGUCAUCACCGCGGUGCCCUGGGUCUGUCUGAAACCUUAGAGGGUGCGCCUUAAGCCGAUGUUGUAAACCCAGGCUGACUUUAAGGUGAAGUGAAAAGGAAACGCACACAAUCUGGAAAGCAAAAUACUUGGGUGGGGUGUUAAAAGCCUCAAAGAAAAAUAGUAGUUGGCAGGUCAAAUGGCCAUGAGGUUGGAAGUCAAAUACGAAACUCGGCUGAAGUGAUGUUAGAAGUUUGACAAGCAAAAACAGUCCGUGAAGAUAAGAGACCCAGCAUUGUUUCCCUUCUUCAAA
This 965-nucleotide long non-coding RNA is filed under the name Homo sapiens (human). Its description in RNAcentral is "non-protein coding lnc-RMDN2-11:2". Lineage: Eukaryota; Metazoa; Chordata; Mammalia; Primates; Hominidae. The record is from RNAcentral.